Molecule: unclassified non-coding RNA, 219 nt
Filed under: uncultured Tomentella
Lineage: Eukaryota; Fungi; Basidiomycota; Agaricomycetes; Thelephorales; Thelephoraceae
Description: sequence contains ITS2
Source: RNAcentral
ACACCUCAACUCUCAUGGCUUGCCAUGAUGAGCUUGGACUUAUGGGGGUCUUGCUGGCCUAUGGUCGGCUCCUCUCAAAUGAAUCAGCUUGCCAGUGUUUGGUGGCGUCACAGGUGUGAUAACUAUCUACGCUUGUGGUUUCCCACCAGGUAACCUUCAGCAAUGGAGAUUCGCUGGGGCUCAUAAAAGUCUCUCCUCGGUGAGGACAGCUCUUUGAAC